CCGAACCGGCGGCAUGCUACACAUGCAAGUCGUACGGAGAGUGAGGCAACUCACUCUCAGUGGCAAACGGGUGAGUAACGCGUGAAUAACCUGCCUUUGAGAAGGGGAUAACUGUCCGAAAGGAUAGCUAAUACCCUAUAUUGCCUUUUGUCACUAAGGCAAAAGGUGAAAGCGAGGCUGUCAAAGGCUUCGGCUCAAAGAGGGGUUCGCGUCCUAUCAGGUAGUUGGUGGGGUAAUGGCCUACCAAGCCAAUGACGGGUAGCUGGUCUUAGAGGACGAUCAGCCACAGUGGGACUGAGACACGGCCCGCACCCCUACGGGGGGCAGCAGUGGGGAAUCGUGGGCAAUGGGCGCAAGCCUGACCCCGCAAUGCCGCGUGAGGGAAGAAGCCCUUCGGGGUGUAAACCUCUGUCAGAUGGGAAGAUGGGACUAGGGGUUAAUACCUCCUAGUCUUGACGGUACCAUCAAAGGAAGGGACGGCUAACUACGUGCCUGCAACCGCGGUAAU
Molecule: ribosomal RNA, 508 nt
Filed under: uncultured bacterium
Lineage: Bacteria
Description: bacterial SSU rRNA
Rfam family: Bacterial small subunit ribosomal RNA
Source: RNAcentral